Pristis pectinata (smalltooth sawfish) is the source of this 238-nucleotide long non-coding RNA. RefSeq lists it as uncharacterized. The record is from RefSeq and is a predicted model, not a curated record. The transcript has 3 exons. Lineage: Eukaryota; Metazoa; Chordata; Chondrichthyes; Rhinopristiformes; Pristidae.
UGAAAAGGUAAAACUUGCUUUUUAUUGUUUCUAGAGUAGUUAAAGCUUGUGUGGACAAUGGAAUUAAUGAAUCAAAAACAUUUGUCGGUUACAGUGGGCAGUGAUAAAGGCAAUCCUUUUCCGAGCUGGAAAAGAUAAAAGUCAGGGAGGAUGAAGAUCAUGGAGGGAUUUGACAAAAAAGAGAGACGAUGGCCUGCUGAAGACCUCUUAGACAGUGAAACCUCAAAUGGAUUUGAAG